RNAcentral lists this long non-coding RNA (457 nucleotides) under Homo sapiens (human). RNAcentral describes it as "HSALNT0115242". Lineage: Eukaryota; Metazoa; Chordata; Mammalia; Primates; Hominidae. The record is from RNAcentral.
AUUAGAAUCAGAACUAUUAGGAGACGUGGUACACAGCAGUAUCCCCAGCCCUCACAUUUUCCAGAAAAAGUGAGGAAGACUUUCAAAAAGAAAUGUUAGAAAGUGCUAUGAAGAGAAAUAAAGCAGGAAAAGGGCGUUGGGAAUGUUGGAGAAGGGAUCAGGGCUGCCAGGGAAGGGUCCAUGGAGGCUGAGGCCACAGACCUGAAGGCAGGGAAGGAGUAAGUCAGGUGUAUGUCUGCGGAGUACAUGGAGAGGUGAGAAAAAUUGCAAGGAAACCCUGUAGUUACUGAGAGGUAGCGGGGUGGAAGGGACACAGAACGGCUUGUAUUAAAUAAAUUUUUACUAAAAGUGAAACAGAAGCCAUCAGAGGGUUUUGAACAGAGAGGUAAUGCUAUUUGACUAUUUCAAGGAAUGUUUCUGAGAAUAGACUGCAGGGGCUGAAGGUGGAAAUGGGGAG